This 241-nucleotide ribosomal RNA is filed under the name Sylvicapra grimmia (bush duiker). RNAcentral describes it as "partial 12S ribosomal RNA". Lineage: Eukaryota; Metazoa; Chordata; Mammalia; Artiodactyla; Bovidae. The record is from RNAcentral.
CGGCAACAGCCUAAAACUCAAAGGACUUGGCGGUGCUUUACACCCUUCUAGAGGAGCCUGUUCUAUAAUCGAUAAACCCCGAUAGACCUCACCAAUUCUUGCUAAUACAGUCUAUAUACCGCCAUCUUCAGCAAACCCUAAAAAGGAACAAAAGUAAGCACAAUCACAACACAUAAAAACGUUAGGUCAAGGUGUAACCUAUGAAAUGGGAAGAAAUGGGCUACAUUUUCUACUGCAAGAA